RNAcentral lists this ribosomal RNA (760 nucleotides) under uncultured bacterium. RNAcentral describes it as "bacterial SSU rRNA". It matches the Rfam family "Bacterial small subunit ribosomal RNA", at positions 31 to 786 of the family's 1533-position model. The record is from RNAcentral.
GAACGCUGGCGGCAUGCCUUACACAUGCAAGUCGAACGGCAGCACGGGGGCAACCCUGGUGGCGAGUGGCGAACGGGUGAGUAACGCAUCGGAAUGUACCCAGUAGUGGGGGAUAACUAGUCGAAAGAUUAGCUAAUACCGCAUACGCACUACGGUGGAAAGCGGGGGAUCGCAAGACCUCGCGCUAUUGGAGCAGCCGAUGUCCGAUUAGGUAGUUGGUGGGGUAAAGGCCUACCAAGCCUGCGAUCGGUAACUGGUCUGAGAGGACGACCAGUCACACUGGGACUGAGACACGGCCCAGACUCCUACGGGAGGCAGCAGUGGGGAAUUUUGGACAAUGGGGGCAACCCUGAUCCAGCAAUGCCGCGUGUGUGACGAAGGCCUUCGGGUUGUAAAGCACUUUUGGCGGGAACGAAACGGCGCUUGCUAAUACCAGGCGCCACUGACGGUACCCGCAGAAUAAGCACCGGCUAACUACGUGCCAGCAGCCGCGGUAAUACGUAGGGUGCGAGCGUUAAUCGGAAUUACUGGGCGUAAAGCGUGCGCAGGCGGUUUCGUAAGACAGAUGUGAAAGCCCCGGGCUCAACCUGGGAAGUGCAUUUGUGACUGCGAGACUAGAGUGUGUCAGAGGGAGGUGGAAUUCCACGUGUAGCAGUGAAAUGCGUAGAGAUGUGGAGGAACACCGAUGGCGAAGGCAGCCUCCUGGGAUAACACUGACGCUCAUGCACGAAAGCGUGGGGAGCAAACAGGAUUAGAUACC